RNAcentral lists this ribosomal RNA (250 nucleotides) under uncultured Actinomycetes bacterium. RNAcentral describes it as "uncultured actinobacterium partial 16S ribosomal RNA". It matches the Rfam family "Bacterial small subunit ribosomal RNA", at positions 28 to 276 of the family's 1533-position model. The record is from RNAcentral. Lineage: Bacteria; Bacillati; Actinomycetota; Actinomycetes.
GACGAACGCUGGCGGCGUGCCUCAUACAUGCAAGUCGAGCGGGGUCCCUCCCUUCGGGGAGACGACCUAGCGGCGAACGGGUGAGUAACACGUGAGCAACCUACCCCGAACUUCGGGAUAAGCCUGGGAAACUGGGUCUAAUACCGGACACCCACCAUUGAUCACAUGUUCUUUGGUGGAAAGGUCCGCCGGUUCGGGAGGGGCUCGUGGCCUAUCAGCUUGUUGGCGGGGUAAUGGCCCACCAAGGCAA